Molecule: ribosomal RNA, 405 nt
Filed under: uncultured bacterium
Lineage: Bacteria
Description: partial 16S ribosomal RNA
Rfam family: Bacterial small subunit ribosomal RNA
Source: RNAcentral
GACGAACGCUGGCGGCGUGCUUAACACAUGCAAGUCGAGCGGAGCGGCGAACGGGUGAGUAACGCGUGAGUAACUGACCCCCUCUCUGGGAUAACAGUUGGAAACGGCUGCUAAUACCGGAUAGUGGGGGAUGACUCGCGUCCUAUCAGCUUGUUGGUGGGUUAUUGGCCUACCAAGGCGACGAGGGGUAGCCGGCCUGAGAGGGCGACCGGCCACAUGUGGCUAAGGUACGUACCAAACUCUUACGGGGGGCAGCAGUGGGGAAUCUUACACAAUGGGGGAACCCCUGAUGCAGCAAGGCCGCGUGCGGGAUGACGGCCUGCGGGUGGUAAACCGCUUUCAGCCAUGACGCGGUAGUGGCAGAAGAAGCACCGGCUAACUACGUGCCAGCAGCCGCGGUAAUAC